RNAcentral lists this ribosomal RNA (331 nucleotides) under uncultured Actinomycetes bacterium. Its description in RNAcentral is "bacterial SSU rRNA". It matches the Rfam family "Bacterial small subunit ribosomal RNA", at positions 28 to 351 of the family's 1533-position model. Lineage: Bacteria; Bacillati; Actinomycetota; Actinomycetes. The record is from RNAcentral.
GACGAACGCUGGCGGCGUGCUUAACACAUGCAAGUCGAACGGGGUCCAUCUGGUCGCAAGACCAGAGAAGACCGAGUGGCGAACGGGUGCGUAACACGUGAGAAACCUGUCCCGGUCUCUGGAAUAACAGUCGGAAACGACUGCUAAUACCGGAUGCCGUCGGAGCGUCGCAUGGCGCGCUGACGAAAGGGCUACCGGAUCGGGAGGGUCUCGCGGCCUAUCAGCUUGUUGGUGAGGUAACGGCUCACCAAGGCAUCGACGGGUAGCUGGUCUGAGAGGAUGAUCAGCCACACUGGGACUGAGACACGGCCCAGACUCCUACGGGUGGCUG